UACGAGAGGUCCAAGCGUUAGUCGGAAUCACUGGGCUUAAAGGGUGCGUAGGCGGGCCUGUAAGUGCUUUGUGAAAUCCCAUGGCUCAACCAUGGAAUCGCAGGGCAUACUGCGGGUCUUGAGGAAUCUAGAGGCCGGUGGAACGAUAGGUGGAGCGGUGGAAUGCGUAGAUAUCUAUCGGAACGCCAAAGGUGAAGACAGCCGGCUGGGGAUUUCCUGACGCUGAGGCACGAAAGCGUGGGGAU
RNAcentral lists this ribosomal RNA (245 nucleotides) under uncultured bacterium. RNAcentral describes it as "partial 16S ribosomal RNA". It matches the Rfam family "Bacterial small subunit ribosomal RNA", at positions 524 to 768 of the family's 1533-position model. The record is from RNAcentral.